UGAGCAAUCUGCCCUUCUCUCUGGGAUAACCCCGGGAAACCGGAGCUAAUACCGGAUACUCCGGCUGGAUCGCAUGGUCCGGCCGGGAAAGGUCCGCCGGAGAGGGAUGGGCCCGCGGCCUAUCAGCUUGUAGGUGGGGUAACGGCUCACCAAGGCUACGACGGGUAGCUGGUCUGAGAGGACGACCAGCCACACUGGAACUGAGACACGGCCCAGACUCCUACGGGAGGCA
RNAcentral lists this ribosomal RNA (232 nucleotides) under uncultured bacterium. RNAcentral's name for it is "partial 16S ribosomal RNA". It matches the Rfam family "Bacterial small subunit ribosomal RNA", at positions 118 to 350 of the family's 1533-position model. The record is from RNAcentral.